This 430-nucleotide ribosomal RNA is filed under the name Pseudomonadota bacterium. RNAcentral's name for it is "Proteobacteria bacterium partial 16S ribosomal RNA". It matches the Rfam family "Bacterial small subunit ribosomal RNA", at positions 355 to 776 of the family's 1533-position model. The record is from RNAcentral. Lineage: Bacteria; Pseudomonadati; Pseudomonadota.
UGGGGAAUAUUGGACAAUGGGGGGAACCCUGAUCCAGCCAUGCCGCGUGUGUGAAGAAGGCCUUAUGGUUGUAAAGCACUUUAAGCGAGGAGGAGGGUACUGGUAUUAAUACUACCAGGUACUGGACGUUACUCGCAGAAUAAGCACCGGCUAACUCUGUGCCAGCAGCCGCGGUAAUACAGAGGGUGCGAGCGUUAAUCGGAUUUACUGGGCGUAAAGCGUGCGUAGGCGGCUAAUUGAGUCGGAUGUGAAAUCCCCGAGCUUAACUUGGGAAUUGCAUUCGAUACUGGUUAGCUAGAGUGUGGGAGAGGAUGGUAGAAUUCCAGGUGUGGCGGUGAAAUGCGUAGAGAUCUGGAGGAAUACCGAUGGCGAAGGCAGCCAUCUGGCCUAACACUGACGCUGAGGUACGAAAGCAUGGGGAGCAAACAGG